UACAGACCUUUAGAGGCAGCCUUACUGGCCAGCCUGCUAGCCCUCUCUCCCAUUUACCACAGGCUACAUGAUACUUGCUUCUGUCUCAUUCCCAGGUGGUCUUCUAGGCCGUGGCAGUGUCUCCUGUGCCUCCUUGGCCUGUUUGGCACACUCUUUGGAAAUGACCACAGUCAUGCUCUCCAUUUUAAUUACUAUCAGGAGGUGACCUUUCACGGUGGCUGGGGAGCCCUUACUCCUUCACAGGAAGACCACCAGAGUAGGCAUUGUGUCUUGUCCAUCCUUGUCCCUGGUACCAGACAUACAGCAAGUGCUCAAUGUAUGCUUGGUAAAG
Long non-coding RNA from Peromyscus californicus insignis, 331 nucleotides. RefSeq lists it as uncharacterized. The record is from RefSeq and is a predicted model, not a curated record. The transcript is spliced from 3 exons. Lineage: Eukaryota; Metazoa; Chordata; Mammalia; Rodentia; Cricetidae.